Molecule: ribosomal RNA, 542 nt
Filed under: uncultured archaeon
Lineage: Archaea
Description: bacterial SSU rRNA
Rfam family: Archaeal small subunit ribosomal RNA
Source: RNAcentral
GGCAGCAGCCGCGGUAACACCGGCAGCUCUAGUGGUAGCAAUUUUAUUGGGCCUAAAGCGUCCGUAGCCGGUUUAAUAAGUCUCUGGUGAAAUCCUGCAGCUUAACUGGUGGGAAUUGCUGGAGAUACUAUUAGACUGAGACCGGGAGAGGUUAGAGGUACUCCCAGGGUAGAGGUGAAAUUCUGUAAUCCUGGGAGGACCGCCUGUUGCGAAGGCGUCUAACUGGAACGGUUCUGACGGUGAGGGACGAAAGUUAGGGGCGCGAACCGGAUUAGAUACCCGGGUAGUCCUAACUGUAAACGAUGCGGACUUGGUGUUGGGGUGGCUUUGAGCUGCUUCAGUGCCGAAGGGAAGCUGUUAAGUCCGCCGCCUGGGAAGUACGGUCGCAAGACUGAAACUUAAAGGAAUUGGGCGGGGGAGCACCACAACGCGUGGAGCCUGCGGUUUAAUUGGAUUCAACGCCGGACAUCUCACCAGAGGCGACAGCUGUAUGAUAGCCAGGUUGAUGUACUUUGCUUGACUAGCUGAGGGGAGGUGCAUGG